GAUGAACGCUAGCGGCAGGCCUAAUACAUGCAAGUCGAACGGGUGGUCGCAAGACCACUAGUGGCGCACGGGUGCGUAACGCGUAACCAACCUGCCCCGAUCUGGGGGAUAGCCCGCCGAAAGGCGGAUUAAUACCGCAUAUACCCGCAGCCUGGCAUCAGGCAACGGGGAAAGAUUUAUUGGAUCGGGAUGGGGUUGCGUGACAUUAGCUAGUUGGCGGGGUAAGGGCCCACCAAGGCGACGAUGUCUAGGGGACCUGAGAGGGUGAUCCCCCACACUGGCACCGAGAUACGGGCCAGACUCCUACGGGAGGCAGCAGUAGGGAAUAUUGGGCAAUGGGCGAGAGCCUGACCCAGCCAUGCCGCGUGCCGGAUGAAGGCCUUCUGGGUUGUAAACGGCUUUUCUCAGGGAAGAAAAAGACCUUGCGAGGUACACUGACGGUACCUGAGGAAUAAGCACCGGCUAACUCCGUG
Molecule: ribosomal RNA, 473 nt
Filed under: uncultured bacterium
Lineage: Bacteria
Description: partial 16S ribosomal RNA
Rfam family: Bacterial small subunit ribosomal RNA
Source: RNAcentral